GGAAGCAUGAUACCGAAGGCUUGUCACUCCCGUCCUUACUUCCACACAGACAAGCAUGUUUGCUCAUUGUUUGCUCUGCUCCUUUUUUUUUUUCCUUUCCAGGUUGCUAUUUCUGCAGAUGUCAAAGAAGUUCUGCUAACUGAUGGGAAUGAAAAGGCCAUCAGAAGUAUCCUUAUUCAGAUAGAAAGCCGGUUCGUUGUUCUCCCCCACCCCACCCCACCCCUGCCCCCAGGCUGAGUAACAGUCGACAUAAAAGACAGACAGCACGGGGUAUUAAAAAAGAGCUCCUCAUACACAUGAUCAGUAAUUAAGAGAAACGAGCAAUGUAUGAAUUCCCUGCGGAUGACUGUGUGUGUCUUCCUUUUCAUAGGGUUUUUCCAGACACUCCUUGCUGAAGGAGUCUGUGUUUUGCAUGUCUCUCGAGGCGGAUUCGAAAUCUUCAUAAUUUCAAAACAUUCUCGUUCUUUUAUUCUCAUUAAGGUCCUCUAGCACCAAGCCGAUU
RNAcentral lists this long non-coding RNA (502 nucleotides) under Rattus norvegicus (Norway rat). Its description in RNAcentral is "long non-coding RNA NONRATT024010". Lineage: Eukaryota; Metazoa; Chordata; Mammalia; Rodentia; Muridae. The record is from RNAcentral.